Molecule: ribosomal RNA, 468 nt
Filed under: uncultured bacterium
Lineage: Bacteria
Description: partial 16S ribosomal RNA
Rfam family: Bacterial small subunit ribosomal RNA
Source: RNAcentral
GACGAACGCUGGCGGCGUGCUUAACACAUGCAAGUCGAACGGAAAGGCCCUGCUUUUGUGGGGUGCUCGAGUGGCGAACGGGUGAGUAACACGUGAGUAACCUGCCCUUGACUUUGGGAUAACUUCAGGAAACUGGGGCUAAUACCGGAUAGGAGCUCCUGCUGCAUGGUGGGGGUUGGAAAGUUUCGGCGGUUGGGGAUGGACUCGCGGCUUAUCAGCUUGUUGGUGGGGUAGUGGCUUACCAAGGGUUUGACGGGUAGCCGGCCUGAGAGGGUGGCCGGCCACAUUGGGACUGAGAUACGGCCCAGAAUCCUACGGGAGGCAGCAGUGGGGAAUAUUACACAAUGGGCGGAAGCCUGAUGCAGCAACGCCGCGUGCGGGAUGACGGCCUUCGGGUUGUAAACCGCUUUCGCCUGUGACGAAGCGUGAGUGACGGUAAUGGGUCAAGAAGCACCGGCUAACUACGUG